AGUGCAGAGAUAAAAGACAGGAAAAAAAACUAAAUUAAUUCAUUGGUCAAUUAUUAAGUAACAUGUCCUUUUCUUAUUUUAAUGUGUUUUCCGGAAAUAUGAUUUCCCUUUAAAAUUUGCGACCGUCACUUACUUCCAGUUUUAAAAUCACGGUUGGAAAUUUUGUUAUGAUUUGUGUGUAAGCACAGUGUUUUAACCAGUGGUUAGUGGAAUUGUCACACAAACACCCUUUUAAAAUAGUAGUUCGCUGCUUAGUUUGGAUCAGGAGUCAGGUUUGAGAUCUCACUUUGAGCUGUACAAGUACUCAGCGAUUAUGGCUGAUAAAGGUAAAAUGAGGAUAGCGGCAACUAUCAAGUCAGGAUGAAGACCAGGAGCUACCGUCCAUCCACCGGCCUUACCAGUAAACAGGCAAUUCUGCUCUUCUCAUUUGAGAGCUUGCUGAAGAUUCAUGGGAAAAAGAAAUGCAAAUCUAAUGUGCUUCAUUCAAAUGUAGUUGAGAGUACAGGGGAACCAGGGAACCAGUUUAUCUAUGGACGUAACCGACUGACCGCUACAGCAGGUUAUGAGAGACUUCAUCAUGUGUUGUGUGAAGAAUGGCAAAGAAAGCUGGAAUCAUGGAAAAGAUAGCUAGGUUAUACCAGAUAGCUUAGGAAGGUGAACACUAAAAAUGACACACUAUUUCCUUACAGACAGAAAGAAUUUUGUGAAAAUAUUCAACCAGUUGUAAAUUAACAGCUAAUUGUUCAAUCAAGUUUUGGUACAAUAUUUUUUAUCUUUUAAUUUUUAAUUUCAUGUGAAGGCAA
Molecule: long non-coding RNA, 803 nt
Organism: Saccostrea cuccullata (small rock oyster)
Lineage: Eukaryota; Metazoa; Mollusca; Bivalvia; Ostreida; Ostreidae
Exons: 3
Source: RefSeq, a predicted model, not a curated record